RNAcentral lists this ribosomal RNA (496 nucleotides) under uncultured bacterium. Its description in RNAcentral is "partial 16S ribosomal RNA". It matches the Rfam family "Bacterial small subunit ribosomal RNA", at positions 38 to 506 of the family's 1533-position model. The record is from RNAcentral.
GGGGGGGGGGGGGGGCGUGGGUGGGGCGUGCGGGGCGGGCGGACGGAUGCGGAGCUUGCUGCUCUGACGGUAGGGGCGGAGGGGAGAGUCACACGUGGGUAGCCUACCUAUAGGCCUGGGAUACCUGCGGGAAACCGGAGCUCAUCCCGUAUAAUCUAUUUCACCGCAUGGGUCAAUAGUGAGAGACGGCUUUGCUGUCACUUAUCGAUGGCUACGCGCCUCAUUAGCUAGUUGGUAAGGUUACGGCUUCCCAAGGCACCGAUGCGUAGCAGACCUGAGAGGGUGAUCGGCCACACCGGAACUGAGACACGGUCCAGAAUCCUACGGGAGGCAGCAGUAGGGAAUCUUCCGCAAUGGGCGAAAGCCUGACGGAGCAACGGCGCGUGAGUGAGGAAGGGCUGCGGAUCGUAAAACUCUGUUAUUAGGGAAGAACAAAUGUGUAAGUAACUAUGCACGUCUUGACGGUACCUAAUCAGAAAGCAACGGCUAACUACGU